AUGGCGACCUCCCUCGACCCCGCGCCGCUGCGCCACCUCGCCUCCGCCCGCCGGUGCGUGCCGCCACCUCACCAGACCCAAGGAGCCUCGCCGCCUUGUGCUGCCGCCUGCGCCGCGUCGCGCGCCGCCACCUCCCCACAAGCUCGCCGCCCCGCCAUGGAAGCCUCGUCGAGCACCGAGCUCCUCUGCGCCCCGCCCGCGUCGCGGCUGCCGCCCCACGCUGCCUCGCGCCCGGAUCCGGCCGAGGGUGCCACCAGGGUCGUGCUGCAGCCCAUCCGCGAGAUCUCUGGCGCCGUGCAGCUGCCAGGGUCCAAGUCGCUCUCCAACCGGAUCCUCGUCCUCUCCGCCCUCUCCGAGGGAACAACGGUGGUGGAUAACCUGUUGAACAGCGAGGAUGUCCACUACAUGCUCGAGGCCCUGGAAGCCCUUGGACUCUCCGUGGAAGCAAAUAAAGUUGCAAAAGGAGCUGUGGUUGUUGGCUGCGGCGGCAGGUUCCCAGUUGAAAAGGACACCAAAGAGGAAGUAAAGCUCUUCUUGGGUAAUGCUGGAACUGCAAUGCGGCCACUGACAGUAGCUGUAGUUCCUGCUGGUGGAAAUGCAACGUUGGAAGAAAAGAAGAAGAUCCGGAGAAGAUCUUAG
Molecule: ribosomal RNA, 639 nt
Filed under: Triticum aestivum (bread wheat)
Lineage: Eukaryota; Viridiplantae; Streptophyta; Magnoliopsida; Poales; Poaceae
Description: partial small subunit ribosomal RNA
Source: RNAcentral